UGGCGUCCAACGUUGAGGCUUGAGAACAUGGAGGAUUGGUGAANGUCACACACCAAAGCAGGUCUGGUCAAGUGAUUGCCAAGGGGACACCUGACUGGACAGAGAUCCGGAGAGUUGAUUUGUGCUGAUGCAAGGUAAGUUUACCAUGGGACAAGCAUUUAGUAAGCAGGAUUUAUUUAUUUCAGGACUUGAACNGUCUCUCAAGACACGAGGAACAAGGGUUAAAAAAAAGAUUUAAAAAAGUUUCUUGAUUAUAUUGGGGAUCUUUGUCUCU
This is a regulatory RNA element of Neotoma lepida (desert woodrat), 274 nucleotides long. It matches the Rfam family "Mason-Pfizer monkey virus packaging signal". From Rfam's summary of the family: The packaging signal is located in the 5' UTR and is required for specific RNA encapsidation. Lineage: Eukaryota; Metazoa; Chordata; Mammalia; Rodentia; Cricetidae. The record is from Rfam.